AACGAACGCUGGCGGCAUGCCUAACACAUGCAAGUCGAACGAGACCUUCGGGUCUAGUGGCGCACGGGUGCGUAACGCGUGGGAACCUGCCCUUAGGUUCGGAAUAACUCCCCGAAAGGGGUGCUAAUACCGGAUAAUGUCUUCGGACCAAAGAUUUAUCGCCUUUGGAUGGGCCCGCGUUGGAUUAGCUAGUUGGUAGGGUAAAAGCCUACCAAGGCGACGAUCCAUAGCUGGUCUGAGAGGAUGAUCAGCCACACUGGGACUGAGACACGGCCCAGACUACUACGGGAAGCAGGAGGGGGGAAUAUUGGAAAAUGGGCGAAAGCCUGAUCCAGCAAUGCCGGGUGAGUGAUGAAGGCCUUAGGGUUGUAAAGCUCUUUUACCCGGGAUGAUAAUGACAGUACCGGGAGAAUAAGCUCCGGCUAACUCCGUG
This 433-nucleotide ribosomal RNA is filed under the name uncultured bacterium. Its description in RNAcentral is "partial 16S ribosomal RNA". It matches the Rfam family "Bacterial small subunit ribosomal RNA", at positions 29 to 507 of the family's 1533-position model. The record is from RNAcentral.